UUGGUUUUAAAGCUAUGUUAGGAAUAUUCAUAAUGUAAUUUCCAAAACUUGCAUAUGAUCUGCAAUUUGUAGCAGAUCUACUCCCACCGGGAGGAGGCCCCGGGGCAGACCCAGGACGCGCUGGAGAGAUUAUAUCUCUCGGCUGGCCUGGGAACGCCUUGGUGUUCCCCCGGAUGAGCUGGAGGAGGUGGCUGGGGAGAGGGAGGUCUGGGCUUCUCUGCUUAGGCUGCUGCCCCCGCGACCCGACUUCGGAUAAAGCGGAUGAGGAUGGAUGGAUCUACUGACUAUCACAUAGCAGCUGGAGCAGUCUCCAAUGGAGGGGAAGUCCACACACACAGUGUGGUACCACCUUCCGCAGAAAGCUGUUUUCGCGAUCGCCUCCUGCAUGAGAAUAUCACCAGUAGCAGCUCCUGAAAAGCAAGUCUACCACACAUCUGUUCGACCAACGCCAAUUAAUCUACGACGCCAGUUAAUCUGGAACACCAGCCGCCGCCUUGGGUCUCUCCUCCUCCUGCCUCCCCUUCCCUCAUCCACCUGCUGGCCUCUGUGGAAGCUCCGCCAUAGCCACCACCAAACAACUGACUUAUUUUUACACAUCUGCCAGCAUCUGGCCAAUCCACCACCUUUCAUUGUUUAUACCGUUGCUAAAAGAAAAAAAAAAAGUCAUGACCCAUAACAACGAAAAAUCACCAUCGAUGGUGGGCCGGACUCAAAUGUUACUGAACUUCUCCAGCUAUAGUCGUGCCAUCAGUUAACCCUUUGCGUGCCAGCUGUGGCACGCAUGCCCAGGGUUGCCGACCACAGACGUAUCGUAAAAGAGUUAGUCAUUUAUUUUAUUACUACCUGUAAUUUAUUGCAGUUUACUUGUAUUUGCUUAAUUGUUUACUAAAUGUUUGAGGUGUGAAAUAAACUGCAAUGGAGUUUGAAAACAAAAUAUGGGUGUGUGUGGUU
Oreochromis aureus is the source of this 951-nucleotide long non-coding RNA. Lineage: Eukaryota; Metazoa; Chordata; Actinopteri; Cichliformes; Cichlidae. The record is from Ensembl.